CCCGCUGAACUUAAGCAUAUCAAUAAGCGGAGGAAAAGAAACUAACAAGGAUUCCCCCAGUAACGGCGAGUGAAGAGGGAAAAGCUCAAUGUUAAAACCUGGUGGUAAAACACCCGGAUUGUAAACUAUGGAUCAUAAUUUCAGUGAAGCGGUGCGCGGGUAAAGUGCUUUGGAAAGAGCCAUCACAGAGGGUGAAAAUCCCGUCUACCCGCAGCUGUUUUACAUUUUGAAAAUUGCGUUCCGAGAGUCAGGUUGUUUGGGAAUGCAGCCUAAAUCGGGUGGUAGAUCACAUCCAAAGCUAAAUAUUGGCGAGAGACCGAUAGCGAACAAGUACCGUGAGGGAAAGAUGAAAAGCACUUUGGAAAGAGAGUUAAACAGUACGUGAAAUUGUUGAAAGGGAAACGUUUGAAGUCAGUCGCGUCGGCCGAGACUCAACCUUGCCAUUUCGGCUCGGUGCAUUUCUCGGUUGACGGGUCAGCAUCAAUUUCGGGCGUCGGAUAAAGGCUGAGGGAACGUGGCAUCCUUCGGGGUGUGUUAUAGCCCUCGGUUCGCAUACGACGAUCGGGAUUGAGGAACUCAGCACGCCUUCAUUGGUCGGGGCUUCGGCUCACGUUAACGUGCUUAGGAUGCUGGCGUAAUGGCUUUAAGCGACCCGUCUUGAAACACGG
Molecule: ribosomal RNA, 668 nt
Filed under: uncultured fungus
Lineage: Eukaryota; Fungi
Description: eukaryotic LSU rRNA
Rfam family: Eukaryotic large subunit ribosomal RNA
Source: RNAcentral